This is a non-coding RNA of Ixodes scapularis (black-legged tick), 73 nucleotides long. NCBI's taxonomy places the organism in Eukaryota, Metazoa, Arthropoda, Arachnida, Ixodida, Ixodidae. The record is from Rfam.
CCCUGGUUAGUUCAGUUGGUAGAGCGCUCCACCGGUAAUGGAGAGGUCCCGGAUUUGAUACCCGGACCAGGCG